RNAcentral lists this transfer RNA (77 nucleotides) under Candidatus Arcticimaribacter sp. Its description in RNAcentral is "tRNA-His". It matches the Rfam family "tRNA". Rfam says of the family: Transfer RNA (tRNA) molecules are approximately 80 nucleotides in length. Lineage: Bacteria; Pseudomonadati; Bacteroidota; Flavobacteriia; Flavobacteriales; Flavobacteriaceae. The record is from RNAcentral.
GUGGUUGUAGCUCAGUUGGUUAGAGCGCCUGAUUGUGGUUCAGGAGGUCGGCGGUUCGAGACCGCUCUUCCACCCUA